This 497-nucleotide ribosomal RNA is filed under the name uncultured bacterium. Its description in RNAcentral is "partial 16S ribosomal RNA". It matches the Rfam family "Bacterial small subunit ribosomal RNA", at positions 28 to 507 of the family's 1533-position model. The record is from RNAcentral.
GAUGAACGCUGGCGGUGUGCCUAACACAUGCAAGUCGAGCGAACAGACGAUGAGCUCGUUCUCUUGACGUUAGCGGCUGACGGGUGAGUAACACGUGGAUAACCUACCUAUAUGACGGGGAGAAUUUCGUGAAACAGCUGCUAAUACUGCAUCAUACGUCGUACCGCUUGAUUCAGUAGUUCUUGACGGCUUUGCCGUCACAAAUAGCCGGAUCCGCGCCGCAUUAGCUAGUUGGUAAGGUAACGGCUUACCAAGGCGACGAUGCGUAGCUGACCUGAGAGGGUGAUCAGCCACACUGGAACUGAGACACGGUCCAGACUCCUACGGGAGGCAGCAGUAGGGAAUCUUCGACAAUGGGCGCAAGCCUGACCGAGCAACGCCGCGUGAGUGAUGAAGGUCUUCGGAUCGUAAAGCUCUGUUGUUAGGAAAGAACAGCUGUAUAUGUAUCUAUGGACGUCUUGACGGUACCUAAUCAAUAAGCCACGGCUAACUACGUG